CUCUGCCUGACUCUUCAUUCUUGCCUCAUGUGACUCAGGGACAGUGGGCUGCCCUCCCAGCUCAUUGCACCCUGCCCAGAAUCUAUGCUUCACAACUGAUAUUUGAUAUAGGUGAAGCAGAAAUCAUCUCAAGGAAAUAGCACUGAACAGUAAUGCCCUAAAACACAGCAUUUGUUGUCUCCAAGCCACUGUUAAGCUAAGCUUUCUGGCCCCCAGAUCUGCACCUGACUUUUGCCACCUCCUCAUCAUCCACUCUGGUCUGCACCCUCUUGACCACGUCUGAGUCUACUUUGGGGCUGGAUGUCUGCUUCAGCAUUAGGAAAUAGACACAUCUACAGAAUCUCUCAUGGCAACACACCAGAUCUGUUUUGUGGAAAGGAAAGGAGUGACUCUACUGAACAUCUGUAAUACCCAGCUGCACACUGGCAUUUCGGGUUAUGAGAAAAAGCAAUAAAAGAAGACAUCAAUUCUCAAGUGAAUAAUUUCUUCUAUAGAGCCUGCUAAACAACAACAACAGCAAAUGAUGAGGAGUAAAUUUACUUCUUUCUUCUCAAAACAACAAAAAUAUCUUCAUUAGAAACAAAGCUCACGUUUUCAUACAAAUCUUUAUAUUCAAUAUGCUACGUUUUCAGGAGAAACAAACAGAAAAAUAAGGAUUUACCUAGAAUGUGUUAUGUAAUGUUCUACAAAAGCCUCACAGGGUAGUAUCAUAAUGGUGAUUUUGUUGCAGUCUGUAUUUUUUUGGAAAGUUCUUUGCCCAGAAAAUCAAUUGUGUAGUUCCUCAGAUGUGAUCAGGCUCAGGGAUACUAACUUACUCUAAAUUAAAUUAAUGAGAGACUAGAAUGUAAAACAGAAUACCAAUUUAUUCAUUUACAAUAAGAAUUAUGACUUUAUUCUGACCAGAAGGCACUCAUUGCCAUGAUGAAGAUAUGCUUUUUCUAAGGCAGAACUACAUGGAAACUAAAAUACAAUAUUAUUCAAGGAAUCAAUACCAGGAAUUUGGAUCAUCCUAGGCAGCUUCUCAGCUGAGGCCAUUCUUCUCCCAGAAAGACACAGCCUUCCUAAACAAUAUUACCCCUGGUUUUCGGUCAAAAUAUUCUGUCUCCUACCUGAUGCUGUGCAUAGUGACAAUUAUUGUUCUGUUCAUUUUUUCCAGGUCCCUAUGAUGAAAAAUAAAUCCCUCUUCAAAUAUAUUUAUAAAAUUUGUUUGAUCACAGUGUGGUCCAAACCAGUAGUCACUAUAUGUGACUUUCCAUGUCUUUGCUUUCAUCCAGUAAGUGUUGAAUCAUUUUCUACUCACAAAAUCUACAUGAUUCCAUUUCCAAAUCCUUUAAAUAGAGGUGUUCGGAGGAGCAUCUUAUACUACCUGUAGAUACAUCC
Symphalangus syndactylus (siamang) is the source of this 1380-nucleotide long non-coding RNA. RefSeq lists it as uncharacterized. The record is from RefSeq and is a predicted model, not a curated record. Lineage: Eukaryota; Metazoa; Chordata; Mammalia; Primates; Hylobatidae.